This 460-nucleotide ribosomal RNA is filed under the name uncultured bacterium. RNAcentral describes it as "partial 16S ribosomal RNA". It matches the Rfam family "Bacterial small subunit ribosomal RNA", at positions 338 to 795 of the family's 1533-position model. The record is from RNAcentral.
CCUACGGGUGGCAGCAGUGAGGAAUAUUGGUCAAUGGACGAGAGUCUGAACCAGCCAAGGAGCGUGAAGGAUGACUGCCCGAGGGGUUGUAAACUUCGGGUAUAUGGGAAUAAAAUGUUCCACGUGUGGGAUGUUGUAGGUACCAGAUGAAGAAGGAGCGGCGAACUCCGGUCCAGCAGCCGCGGUAAUACGGAGGAUCCGAGCGUUAUCCUGAUUUAUUGGGUUUAAAGGGAGCGAAGGUGGAUUGUUAAGUCAGUUGUGAAAGUUUGCGGCUCAACCGUAAAAUUGCAGUUGAAACUGGCAGUCUUGAGUACAGUAGAGGUGGGCGGAAUUCGUGGUGGAGCGGUGAAAUGCUUAGAUAUCACGAAGAACUCCGAUUGCGAAGGCAGUUCACUGGACUGCAACUGACACUGAGGCUCGAAAGUGUGGGUAUCAAACAGGAUUAGAUACCCCGGUAGUC